GCUGGGAUAGCUGGGUUGGUAGAGCAUGAGACUCUUAAUCUCAGGGUUCUGGGUUCGAGCUCCUUGUUAGGCA
RNAcentral lists this transfer RNA (73 nucleotides) under Podarcis lilfordi (Lilford's wall lizard). It matches the Rfam family "tRNA". From Rfam's summary of the family: Transfer RNA (tRNA) molecules are approximately 80 nucleotides in length. Their secondary structure includes four short double-helical elements and three loops (D, anti-codon, and T loops). Lineage: Eukaryota; Metazoa; Chordata; Lepidosauria; Squamata; Lacertidae. The record is from Rfam by way of RNAcentral.